This 481-nucleotide ribosomal RNA is filed under the name uncultured Lachnospiraceae bacterium. RNAcentral's name for it is "bacterial SSU rRNA". It matches the Rfam family "Bacterial small subunit ribosomal RNA", at positions 30 to 507 of the family's 1533-position model. The record is from RNAcentral. Lineage: Bacteria; Bacillati; Bacillota; Clostridia; Lachnospirales; Lachnospiraceae.
GUGAACGCUGGCGGCGUGCUUAACUACAUAGCAAGUCGACGAAGCGCUGCUUGAUCUUCGGAGGAGAGGCCGUGCGACUGAGUGGCGGACGGGUGGAGUAACGCGUGGGCGAACCUGCCCCGCCACUGGGGGACGAACAGACUCGGAAACGGCUGCUAAUACCGCAUAAGCGCACAGCUUCGCAUGAAGCGGUGUGAAAAACUCCGGUGGUGCGGGAUGGGCCCGCGUCUGAUUAGCUGGUUGCGGGGGUAACGGCCCACCAAGGCAACGAUCAGUAGCCGGCCUGAGAGGGUGGACGGCCACAUUGGGACUGAGACACGGCCCAGACUCCUACGGGAGGCAGCAGUGGGGAAUAUUGCACAAUGGGGGAAACCCUGAUGCAGCGACGCCGCGUGAGCGAAGAAGUAUUUCGGUGUGUAAAGCUCUAUCAGCAGGAAAGAAAAUGACGGUACCUGACUAAGAAGCUCCGGCUAAAUACGUG